RNAcentral lists this ribosomal RNA (527 nucleotides) under uncultured eukaryote. Its description in RNAcentral is "SSU rRNA". It matches the Rfam family "Eukaryotic small subunit ribosomal RNA", at positions 599 to 1130 of the family's 1831-position model. The record is from RNAcentral.
GUAUAUUAAAGUUGUUGCAGUUAAAAAGCUCGUAGUUGAACUUCAGACCUGGCUGGGCGGUCCGCCUAACGGUAUGUACUGUCCGGCUGGGUCUUACCUCUUGGUGAGCCGGCAUGCCCUUCACUGGGUGUGUCGGGGAACCAGGACUUUUACCUUGAGAAAAUUAGAGUGUUCAAAGCAGGCUUAUGCCCGAAUACAUUAGCAUGGAAUAAUAAAAUAGGACGUGCGGUUCUAUUUUGUUGGUUUCUAGAGUCGCCGUAAUGAUUAAUAGGGAUAGUUGGGGGCAUUAGUAUUCCGUUGCUAGAGGUGAAAUUCUUGGAUUUACGGAAGACUAACUAUUGCGAAAGCAUUUGCCAAGGAUGUUUUCAUUAAUCAAGAACGAAGGUUAGGGGAUCGAAAACGAUCAGAUACCGUUGUAGUCUUAACAGUAAACUAUGCCGACUAGGGAUCGGGCGAACUCAAUUUGAUGUGUCGCUCGGCACCUUACGAGAAAUCAAAGUCUUUGGGUUCCUGCGGGGAGUAUGGUC